RNAcentral lists this ribosomal RNA (484 nucleotides) under uncultured bacterium. RNAcentral describes it as "partial 16S ribosomal RNA". It matches the Rfam family "Bacterial small subunit ribosomal RNA", at positions 29 to 507 of the family's 1533-position model. The record is from RNAcentral.
AUUGAACGCUGGCGGCAUGCUUUACACAUGCAAGUCGAACGGCAGCGCGGGCUUCGGCCUGGCGGCGAGUGGCGAACGGGUGAGUAAUGCAUCGGAACGUGCCCAGUAGUGGGGGAUAACCCGGCGAAAGCCGGAUUAAUACCGCAUACGACCUGAGGGUGAAAGCGGGGGACCGAAAGGCCUCGCGCUAUUGGAGCGGCCGAUGUCGGAUUAGCCAGUUGGUGGGGUAAAGGCUUACCAAGGCGACGAUCCGUAGCUGGUCUGAGAGGACGACCAGCCACACUGGGACUGAGACACGGCCCAGACUCCUACGGGAGGCAGCAGUGGGGAAUUUUGGACAAUGGGGGCAACCCUGAUCCAGCCAUGCCGCGUGCGGGAAGAAGGCCUUCGGGUUGUAAACCGCUUUUGUUCGGGAAGAAAUCCUCUGGGCUAAUACCCCGGGGGGAUGACGGUACCGGAAGAAUAAGCACCGGCUAACUACGUG